This 560-nucleotide long non-coding RNA is filed under the name Parus major (Great Tit). RNAcentral's name for it is "lncRNA (ENSPMJG00000019280.1)". Lineage: Eukaryota; Metazoa; Chordata; Aves; Passeriformes; Paridae. The record is from RNAcentral.
UAGGGGAAGAUGAACAGACACAUAGAGAUGGAUGGGUGAAGUGAAGUAGAAUAUUACUGAAUAAUCUUCAACCUUGAAUGAGGAAAAUGAGAUACAGGAUGCCUAAUGUUUCAUUGACAUCCAUGAAAAGAGACAUGAAAACAUCCAAAUCUCUCUCAGUGGAAGAAAGUUAAGGGGACCACAUGCAGAACCACAGCUCCACUGAGCAUGGUGACCCUGGCAGGACAACAGGGAUCCCAUCCGUGCACCUGUCCUUGUGUGGCCAGAGGGAGAGGCCGUGCCUCGUGCAUCAAGAAGAAAAUCAUGUUUGGAAGCUAUUCUAUAAUGAGUUUGAUAUGAUUCUGAAUCUUGGAACAGUGAUGAUUGUGCACAGAACACCAGUUAACAUGUCCUGUCCCAGUAAAGGAGAAGCUGUGGUCAUAGGAUAACAGUCCCAAGGAGCAGUCACCCAGGUAUGGAGCAGGGAUGUAUGUAUGUAUGUCUUCUUUAGGUAUUAGGUUUAAUGACAAAUUAGAAGGGCUGAUAAUAAAAUUCUUGUGAUGAAAAUUUCUUCUGAAAGG